UAAAAGGUGGGAUAGCUCAG
This 20-nucleotide transfer RNA is filed under the name Moraea vespertina. Its description in RNAcentral is "partial tRNA-Phe". Lineage: Eukaryota; Viridiplantae; Streptophyta; Magnoliopsida; Asparagales; Iridaceae. The record is from RNAcentral.